AGCGGCGGACGGGUGAGUAACGCGUGGGUAACCUGCCUCAUACACAUGGAUAACAUACCAAAAGGUAUGCUAAUACAAGAUGAUAUAAGAGAUUCGCAUGGAUUUCUUAUCAAAGCUCCGGCGGUAUGAGAUGGACCCGCGUCUGAUUAGCUAGUUGGUAAGGUAACGGCUUACCAAGGCGACGAUCAGUAGCCGACCUGAGAGGGUGAUCGGCCACAUUGGAACUGAGACACGGUCCAAACUCCUACGAGAGGCAGCAGUGGGGAAUAUUGCACAAUGGGCGAAAGCCUGAUGCAGCAACGCCGCGUGAGCGAUGAAGGCCUUCGGGUCGUAAAGCUCUGUCCUCAAGGAAGAUAAUGACGGUACUUGAGGAGGAAGCCCCGGCUAACUACGUGCCAGCAGCCGCGGUAAUACGUAGGGGGCUAGCGUUAUCCGGAUUUACUGGGCGUAAAGGGUGCGUAGGUGGUUUCUUAAGUCAGGAGUGAAAGGCUACGGCUCAACCGUAGUAAGCUCUUGAAACUGGGAAACUUGAGUGCAGGAGAGGAAAGUGGAAUUCCUAGUGUAGCGGUGAAAUGCGUAGAUAUUAGGAGGAACACCAGUAGCGAAGGCGGCUUUCUGGACUGUAACUGACACUGAGGCACGAAAGCGUGGGGAGCAAACAGGAUUAGAUACCCUGGUAGUCCACGCCGUAAACGAUGAGUACUAGGUGU
RNAcentral lists this ribosomal RNA (710 nucleotides) under uncultured bacterium. RNAcentral's name for it is "bacterial SSU rRNA". It matches the Rfam family "Bacterial small subunit ribosomal RNA", at positions 94 to 823 of the family's 1533-position model. The record is from RNAcentral.